UACGUAGGGUGCAAGCGUUGUCCGGAAUUAUUGGGCGUAAAGAGCUCGUAGGCGGUUUGUCGCGUCGGCUGUGAAAACUCGGGGCUCAACCCCGAGCCUGCAGUCGAUACGGGCAAACUUGAGUGUGGUAGGGGAGACUGGAAUUCCUGGUGUAGCGGUGAAAUGCGUAGAUAUCUGGAGGAACACCGGUGGCGAAGGCGGCAUCCUGGACCGACACUGACGCCGAGGAGCGAAAGCCAGGGGAGCAAACGGG
RNAcentral lists this ribosomal RNA (253 nucleotides) under uncultured bacterium. Its description in RNAcentral is "partial 16S ribosomal RNA". It matches the Rfam family "Bacterial small subunit ribosomal RNA", at positions 524 to 776 of the family's 1533-position model. The record is from RNAcentral.